UAGGGAAUCUUCCACAAUGGACGAAAGUCUGAUGGAGCAACGCCGCGUGAGUGAAAGAAGGGUUUCGGCUCGUAAAACUCUGUUGUUAAAGAAGAACAUAUCUGAGAGUAACUGUUCAGGUAUUGACGGUAUUUAACCAGAAAGCCACGGCUAACUACGUGCCAG
This 165-nucleotide ribosomal RNA is filed under the name uncultured bacterium. RNAcentral's name for it is "partial 16S ribosomal RNA". It matches the Rfam family "Bacterial small subunit ribosomal RNA", at positions 355 to 511 of the family's 1533-position model. The record is from RNAcentral.